AAUGGGGGAAACCCUGAUGCAGCCAUGCCGCGUGUGUGAAGAAGCCUUCGGGUUGUAAAGCACUUUCAGUUGUGAGGAAAAGUUAGUAGUUAAUACCUGCUAGCCGUGACGUUAACAACAGAAGAAGCACCGGCUAACUCCGUGCCAGCAGCCGCGGUAAUACGGAGGUGCGAGCGUUAAUCGGAAUUACUGGGCGUAAAGCGCACGCAGGCGGUUUGUCAAGCUAGAUGUGAAAGCCCCGGGCUUAACCUGGGAAUUGCAUUUAGAACUGUCAGACUAGAGUCAUCUAGAGGGGAGUGGAAUUCCAGGUGUAGCGGUGAAAUGCGUAGAGAUCUGGAGGAACAUCAGUGGCGAAGGCGACUCCCUGGAGAUAGACUGACGCUCAUGUGCGAAAGCGUGGGUAGCGAACAGGAUU
RNAcentral lists this ribosomal RNA (415 nucleotides) under uncultured Gammaproteobacteria bacterium. Its description in RNAcentral is "bacterial SSU rRNA". It matches the Rfam family "Bacterial small subunit ribosomal RNA", at positions 370 to 779 of the family's 1533-position model. The record is from RNAcentral. Lineage: Bacteria; Pseudomonadati; Pseudomonadota; Gammaproteobacteria.